RNAcentral lists this ribosomal RNA (110 nucleotides) under Salmonella enterica subsp. enterica serovar Enteritidis. Its description in RNAcentral is "partial 16S ribosomal RNA". It matches the Rfam family "Bacterial small subunit ribosomal RNA", at positions 1 to 101 of the family's 1533-position model. The record is from RNAcentral. Lineage: Bacteria; Pseudomonadati; Pseudomonadota; Gammaproteobacteria; Enterobacterales; Enterobacteriaceae.
UUAAAUUGAAGAGUUUGAUCAUGGCUCAGAUUGAACGCUGGCGGCAGGCCUAACACAUGCAAGUCGAACGGUAACAGGAAGCAGCUUGCUGCUUCGCUGACGAGUGGAGG